This 497-nucleotide ribosomal RNA is filed under the name uncultured bacterium. RNAcentral describes it as "partial 16S ribosomal RNA". It matches the Rfam family "Bacterial small subunit ribosomal RNA", at positions 28 to 507 of the family's 1533-position model. The record is from RNAcentral.
GAUGAACGCUGGCGGCGUGCCUAAUACAUGCAAGUCGAGCGAACAGACGAGGAGCUUGCUCCUCUGACGUUAGCGGCGGACGGGUGAGUAACAAGUGGAUAACCUACUUAUAAGACUGGGAUAACUUCGGGAAAACGGAGCUACUACCGGAUAAUAUAUUGAACCGCAUGGUUCAAUAGUGAAAGACGGUUUUGCUGUCACUUAUAGAUGGUUUCGCGCCGCAUUAGCUAGUUGGUAAGGUAACGGCUUACCAAGGCAACGAUGCGUAGCCGACCUGAGAGGGUGAUCGGCCACACUGGAACUGAGACACGGUCCAGACUCCUACGGGAGGCAGCAGUAGGGAAUCUUCCGCAAUAGGCGAAAGCUUGACGGAGCAACGCCGCGUGAGUGAUGAAGGUCUUCGGAUCGUAAAACUCUGUUAUUAGGGAAGAACAAAUGUGUAAGUAACUAUGCACGUCUUGACGGUACCUAAUCAGAAAGCCACGGCUAACUACGUG